This 353-nucleotide RNase P RNA is filed under the name Nitrosomonadales bacterium. RNAcentral's name for it is "RNase P RNA component class A". It matches the Rfam family "Bacterial RNase P class A". From Rfam's summary of the family: Ribonuclease P (RNase P) is a ubiquitous endoribonuclease, found in archaea, bacteria and eukarya as well as chloroplasts and mitochondria. Its best characterised activity is the generation of mature 5'-ends of tRNAs by cleaving the 5'-leader elements of precursor-tRNAs. The record is from RNAcentral. Lineage: Bacteria; Pseudomonadati; Pseudomonadota; Betaproteobacteria; Nitrosomonadales.
GAAGCUGGCUAGACAGUCGCUGCACGCUGAUGUUGUGCAGAGGAAAGUCCGGGCUCCAUAGAGCAGGAUGCCGGUUAACGACCGGACGCCGUGAGGCGAUGGAAAGUGCCACAGAAAAUACACCGCCGAUGGCUGCGCAAGCAGUACAGGCAAGGUUGAAAUGGCGAGGUAAGAGCUCACCGCGCUGGUGGCAACAUCAGCGGCAGGGUAAACCCCAUCCGGAGCAAGACCAAAUAGGCUGGCCAUGACGUUGCUCGCGUCGCCAGCGGGUAGGUUGCUUGAGCGUCAGGUAACGAAACGCCUAGAGGAAUGACUGUCCACGACAGAACCCGGCUUACCGGCUGGCUUCACCU